RNAcentral lists this ribosomal RNA (253 nucleotides) under uncultured bacterium. Its description in RNAcentral is "partial 16S ribosomal RNA". It matches the Rfam family "Bacterial small subunit ribosomal RNA", at positions 524 to 776 of the family's 1533-position model. The record is from RNAcentral.
UACGUAGGGUGCGAGCGUUGCCCGGAUUUAUUGGGCGUAAAGCGCACGUAGGCGGCUUCUUAAGUCAGGGGUGAAAUCCUGGAGCUCAACUCCAGAACUGCCUUUGAUACUGAGAAGCUUGAGUCCGGGAGAGGUGAGUGGAACUGCGAGUGUAGAGGUGAAAUUCGUAGAUAUUCGCAAGAACACCAGUGGCGAAGGCGGCUCACUGGCCCGGUACUGACACUGAGGCACGAAAGCGUGGGGAGCAAACAGG